AGUGUGACAAAGACAAGAGCACCUACCGGCUCUCUGCAGUCGUCUCACACCUCGGGUACAGCAUGAACAGAGGCCACUACAUAUGCGAUGCUGCUAAGGGAGAAGGCAAAAAGUGGCUGACCUUCUCUGACUUGAAGGUGAAGGAGGCACAUGAGGACGAUGUCCUGAAGGAGAGAGAGGACACAGCUUACAUGCUGUACUACGUCCUCAGUGAGGCAGAGGAGAGGGACCAAGAGGCCCUGCAGCAGCACCAGGG
This is a long non-coding RNA of Myripristis murdjan (pinecone soldierfish), 256 nucleotides long. RefSeq lists it as uncharacterized. The transcript has 3 exons. The record is from RefSeq and is a predicted model, not a curated record. Lineage: Eukaryota; Metazoa; Chordata; Actinopteri; Holocentriformes; Holocentridae.